AUAUGCUCAAGAGCUAAUCGAACAUUUUGUCAUGUGCUGUGCUGACCUGUAUGGCAAGACCUUUCCUGUAUACAAUGUACAUGGACUAAUUCAUCUCCAAGAGGAUGCCAGCCACUUCAACUGUUCCUUGAAUGACAUUUCUUGUUUUCCAUUUGAGAACUACCUACAACAAGUCAAGAAACAUGUGAGGAGCGGGAGAAGUCCCUUAGAACAAGUAACCAGACGUUUGGCUGAAAUCGAGCAUUCAGAAGUGGACAAUAGCCAGAGACACCCUAAAGUGUUUGCCUCUGUUAAAAAUAAGGACAGUUGUUUUCUUUUGAGGGACAACAGCUUUGCUUUUGUUCGACAGAAAAAUGCAGACGGGACGUUUGCUUGUGAAAUUCUGUGCCAGCAUCACACUUCACUAUUAUUUCACCAACCGUGUAGCUCUGGACUGCUGAACAUAGUGUGCAUAGGAAAUGGUCAUGUCAGGAUGAAAAACGCACUACUGCAAGAAAGGGAUCUGUUCCGGAAGGUGGCCUGCCUCCCACAAGAAGCUGGUGGUUUUGUCCUCAUACCCCUUCGCCAUGGUCGGGAACACGCAUAUUAAGGUGCUGCAAAUUUCAAGAAUUGGUGGGCGGAACACCAAGGACUGUGCCCACAAAGUGUUGGACAGAAGGGCUCAUGAAAUUCGAUCCCACAGCCACCGAGGAGAACAUCAAGGCGAACGUGUCCGAAAG
Alosa alosa (allis shad) is the source of this 719-nucleotide long non-coding RNA. RefSeq lists it as uncharacterized. The transcript has 3 exons. Lineage: Eukaryota; Metazoa; Chordata; Actinopteri; Clupeiformes; Clupeidae. The record is from RefSeq and is a predicted model, not a curated record.